GAUGAACGCUAGGCGGGAGGCUUAACACAUGCAAGUCGAGGGGCAGCAUAGGGUAGCAAUACUCUGAUGGCGACCGGCAAACGGGUGAGUAACGCGUAUGCAACCUACCCUGUACAGGGGGAUAACCCGGAGAAAUUCGGACUAAUAUCCCGUAAUAAUAUCCGGAGGCAUCUUUGGAUAUUUAAAGUUUCGACGGUACGGGAUGGGCAUGCGUAACAUUAGCUGGUUGGUAAGGUAACGGCUUACCAAGGCUAUGAUGUUUAGGGGUCCUGAGAGGGUGGUCCCCCACACUGGUACUGAGACACGGACCAGACUCCUACGGGAGGCAGCAGUGAGGAAUAUUGGUCAAUGGGCGCAAGCCUGAACCAGCCAUCCCGCGUGCAGGAAGACGGCCCUAUGGGUUGUAAACUGCUUUUCCAGGGAGAGAAACUUACGCACGUGUUGCGUGACUGACGGUACCCUGGGAAUAAGCAUCGGCUAACUCCGUG
This 488-nucleotide ribosomal RNA is filed under the name uncultured bacterium. RNAcentral describes it as "bacterial SSU rRNA". It matches the Rfam family "Bacterial small subunit ribosomal RNA", at positions 28 to 507 of the family's 1533-position model. The record is from RNAcentral.